This 254-nucleotide ribosomal RNA is filed under the name uncultured bacterium. RNAcentral's name for it is "partial 16S ribosomal RNA". It matches the Rfam family "Bacterial small subunit ribosomal RNA", at positions 524 to 776 of the family's 1533-position model. The record is from RNAcentral.
UACGUAGGGUGCAAGCGUUGUCCGGAAUUAUUGGGCGUAAAGAGCUCGUAGGCGGCUUGUCACGUCGGGUGUGAAAGCCCGGGGCUUAACCCCGGGUCUGCAUUCGAUACGGGCUGGCUAGAGUGUGGUAGGGGAGAUCGGAAUUCCUGGUGUAGCGGUGAAAUGCGCAGAUAUCAGGAGGAACACCGGUGGCGAAGGCGGAUCUCUGGGCCAUUACUGACGCUGAGGAGCGAAAGCGUGGGGGAGCGAACAGG